Molecule: ribosomal RNA, 233 nt
Filed under: Shigella flexneri
Lineage: Bacteria; Pseudomonadati; Pseudomonadota; Gammaproteobacteria; Enterobacterales; Enterobacteriaceae
Description: partial 23S ribosomal RNA
Rfam family: Bacterial large subunit ribosomal RNA
Source: RNAcentral
UGGUGUUCGGGUUGUCAUGCCAAUGGCACUGCCCGGUAGCUAAAUGCGGAAGAGAUAAGUGCUGAAAGCAUCUAAGCACGAAACUUGCCCCGAGAUGAGUUCUCCCUGACCCUUUAAGGGUCCUGAAGGAACGUUGAAGACGACGACGUUGAUAGGCCGGGUGUGUAAGCGCAGCGAUGCGUUGAGCUAACCGGUACUAAUGAACCGUGAGGCUUAACCUUACAACGCCGAAG